UUUCGAAUCAUUCACAAUGGGCGAAAGCCUGAUGAUGCAAUGCCGCGUGGAGGAUGAAGGCCCUAGGGUCGUAAACUCCUGUCAUUGGGGAGCAACAAAUAAGUUCAUAGCUUAUCAUGAGUUAACCCAAAGAGGAAGAGGUGGCUAACUCCGUGCCAGCAGCCGCGGUAAUACGGAGACCUCGAGCGUUACUCGGAUUCACUGGGCGUAAAGGGUGAGUAGGUGGCCAAGUGUGUCAGGUGUGAAAUCCCGGGGCUUAACCCCGGAACUGCGCCUGAAACUACUUGGCUAGAGUCUCGGAGAGGAUAGUGGAAUUCCAAGUGUAGCGGUGAAAUGCGUAGAUAUUUGGAGGAACACCAGUGGCGAAGGCGACUAUCUGGACGAGUACUGACGCUCAAUCACGAAAGCGUGGGUAGCGAAAGGG
This 424-nucleotide ribosomal RNA is filed under the name uncultured bacterium. RNAcentral describes it as "bacterial SSU rRNA". It matches the Rfam family "Bacterial small subunit ribosomal RNA", at positions 355 to 776 of the family's 1533-position model. The record is from RNAcentral.